RNAcentral lists this non-coding RNA (150 nucleotides) under Desulfuribacillus alkaliarsenatis. Its description in RNAcentral is "FMN sequence". It matches the Rfam family "FMN riboswitch aptamer (RFN element)". Rfam says of the family: The RFN element is a highly conserved domain that is found frequently in the 5'-untranslated regions of prokaryotic mRNAs that encode for flavin mononucleotide (FMN) biosynthesis and transport proteins. This element is a metabolite-dependent riboswitch that directly binds FMN in the absence of proteins. Lineage: Bacteria; Bacillati; Bacillota; Desulfuribacillia; Desulfuribacillales; Desulfuribacillaceae. The record is from Rfam by way of RNAcentral.
UGAACUGACAAGGGGCAGGGUGUAAUUCCCGACCGGCGGUAACGUGCAUAACGAAGCCCGCGAGCUGUUUCGCUAAAUGAUUUAGUGUAAAUGGCAGAUUUGGUGUAAAACCAAAGCCGACAGUUAAAGUCUGGAUGGGAUAUCAGUUUA